Schizosaccharomyces pombe (fission yeast) is the source of this 2174-nucleotide non-coding RNA. NCBI's taxonomy places the organism in Eukaryota, Fungi, Ascomycota, Schizosaccharomycetes, Schizosaccharomycetales, Schizosaccharomycetaceae. The record is from the annotation of a GenBank genome assembly.
ACAGCAGAUGUUUACUCAAAAACUUUUUUGACAAGUUAGCCUAUUUACCAGAAUGAUGUAUGGAUUUUAUCAAAGGGAUAAGGGAUGAAACUGGAACGGCUUGCUUAAGAAACGGAUGCCUUAAAAGCUCACCGGAGCUAGGGCGUUGCUUAGGAUUAACAGUUAAAGAUUUAGAAAGAAAAUCAUGGAAAACAGAACUUAACAAUUCUGGCCGACUAAUCUUUGGAGUACCAAUAGUAGCAAUUAAAUAUAGAGCACGUAAAGGAUUUUCGUUUAAAUACGGGGGCUCUCCCUCUACCAUCUCUAUAGCCAUAAUACCAAGACUCCAGACAUCAACUUUGAAACCAUAUUCCUUUCUAGUAACGACUUCUGGAGCCAUCCAAUAUGGAGUACCAACCAUCGUCGUUCGUUUCGUCAUGUUACUGUCGAUCUGAGCACAAAACCCAAAAUCGGUAAGUUUAAUAUCUCCUUGAAGUGAGAGAAGGAUAUUGUCUGAUUUUAUGUCACGGUGAACAAUGCCAUUUUCAUGGAGAUGCUGUAAGCCUUCCAACGUUUCCUUACAUAUUGCAGCUAUCUGACCUUCUGAAAGAGUGUUAUUGGUAACCACUUCAGUAAGACUGCCACCGCGCAUGUAUUCCAUUACCAUCCACAACUCUGAUUUAUAGAAGAAAGUGUCAAUAAAAUUGACAAUGUUUUUGUGAUGAUGUGACUUCAUCACGAGUAUUUCAUUGACAAUAAAUUCCUUUUUUGGCUGUUGAUUAAUGUUCAUUUUCUUGAUGGCAACAGAAAGAUUAGUGCCGACUUGGCGAGCAGAAUACACAUCACCAGAAGCACCUUGACCAAUUUUAACAAAAUUUCGAUAUAAAAGUGUUGGAUUUUUGGGAUUGCAUAUAGACUGUAACUUUGCCAAUACAGCAGAAUCAUUGGAUUGUUGUCGAGGUGCACGCUUUUGAAGUCGAGGGGCACUUGGUGCUUCCACUUUUUGAGGAGUCGCAACAGCUUUCGGUUUGGUGCUAGUCUCGGCUCUCCGUUGAUAUGGUGUCGAGUUAUUCGGACGGAUAUGUUUCGUUUCAGAUGUACUUAAGGUUUGAGGCGUUAACAAAACAGGGGAAUGACUUCGGAUUAUAUUAUCGGUUGACUUGCUGGAAACUAAUGGAGAAGGUUGUCGAGAAGCAUUAGAGGUAGUAGUUUUAACUGUUUGUGAUGAUAAUAAAGGAGACGAUGAAGAACUUGCAGGAGGCGUGGGAGCAGGUCGAGAAGGAUACAAACGAGAAGAUGAGCUUGUAGCAGAGGUGGGUUGAAGAUGAGAACUACUAGACAACGCUGAAACGGAGAGUAAAGGCUUCUCAGUACUUUCACGGGGAAAGGGUGGCUUUGCUCCCUCCUCAAGAUAUUUCUUGGAUUGGGAAUAAAAAGCCAUAGCGUCCAAAACGGCCUGUGGAUGUUGUACUUGUUCCGACUUUGUAAUGCCACUGACUUUUAGUAGUGCCUGCCAUUCAGUAGGCAUUCCAGUAAAUUCCCCAGUAUCAUAAUUAAAACCAACGUGAGUGACAUGCUUCGGAUCAAAUGGAGAAGAGAUGACAGUCGAUUUGCGAGGGCUGGCAGAGCCUGACCCAUAGGAACUUGUAGGACUGCUACCACCCCCAGUUAAGAACGAACUCAUGCUCGAGACAAAGUUUUCAAACGCAGACUUCUUUUGGUUCCUUUCAUCAUAUGAACGCACAUCAGAAACAUUAGUCUGAAGUUUUCUAAUGGAACUGCUACUAUGCUGACGAGAACCAAGUGAAACCCUAGAUACAGUUGUACGGGAUUGAGAUAAAGGGAAACCGGAAAAGGUGUCUUCAGCAAGAUUAGUAUUUAUAGCUGGAGGCUUUGGAGCUGUCCUGCUGGGCUUCAGUUUUCUCAAAUCAUCUUCUACUUCAUAACGUACAGGUUCACCAGUUUUAUGAGCAACAAUAGGGGUUAUUCCAUAGCCAUUUGGAGCCUUCUUUCGAGGUUGUAAAGUCCCUCUUUCCAUAGUAAAUAAAUUUAUUAACGAAAAGGGUAAAGAAAAACAGAAAUAGGACUAUGGCAAAUGUGUUGCAGAACGAAGGAAUAAGUUUCAGUAUGCAAAAAAAAAACAAAAAGACAAGAAUAGAGCACUUAAGUUGAAAAGGAUUUUUCUCCUAGUAAGA